Molecule: transfer RNA, 71 nt
Filed under: Ovis aries (sheep)
Lineage: Eukaryota; Metazoa; Chordata; Mammalia; Artiodactyla; Bovidae
Rfam family: tRNA
About the family: Transfer RNA (tRNA) molecules are approximately 80 nucleotides in length. Their secondary structure includes four short double-helical elements and three loops (D, anti-codon, and T loops). Further hydrogen bonds mediate the characteristic L-shaped molecular structure. tRNAs have two regions of fundamental functional importance: the anti-codon, which is responsible for specific mRNA codon recognition, and the 3' end, to which the tRNAs corresponding amino acid is attached (by aminoacyl-tRNA synthetases). tRNAs cope with the degeneracy of the genetic code in two manners: having more than one tRNA (with a specific anti-codon) for a particular amino acid; and 'wobble' base-pairing, i.e. permitting non-standard base-pairing at the 3rd anti-codon position.
Source: Rfam by way of RNAcentral
UUCCCGGUGGCUUAGAGGUAAAGAAUCUGCCUUCAAUGUAGGAGACGCAGGUUAGAUCCCUGGGUGGGGAA